GCGUGACGUCAGGCGGACGCCAUAAGGCUGUGGGAACGGCAGUGCUUGAUCGGCAGUUGUGGAGGUUGUGGUGUCGCCGUAGCUGUAGCUUUGUUUAUUGUUGUGUAUUCGUUGGUGGACGGAACAGGGAGCGCCUGCGGAGGAUGGCGAGUGCCUGCAGAGCAAGGGAGCACCUGCGGAUGAUGGGAGUACCUGCAGAGAAGAAGGAGGGUUUGCGGAGGACACAGUGCCGUCGGAGAAUACAGGUAGUGCGCCGGCGGAGGUUAGAGGUAGUGCGCUGUCAGAAGAUAGAGGUGGAGCAUCUGUGGAGGAUGGGAGCACUGUCAGAAGACAGAGGUAGUGCGCCGGUAGAGGUUAGAGGUAGUGCACCAUUGGAGGAUAAAGGUGGAGGGUUUGCGGAGGACGGGAACACCUGAGGAGAUGGGGAGUGCCUGCAGAGGACAGGAACGUCGUCAGAGGAUAGUGGUUGUGCGCUGGCAAAGGUUAGAGGUAGUGUGCUAGCAGAGGAAAGAGGUGCAACAGCUGCGGGGGAUGGGAGAGCCAUCAGAAGAUAGAGGUAGUGCGCCAGCAGAGGUUAGAUGUAGUGCGACAUUGGAAGAUAGAGGUGGAGUGUCUGUGGAGAAUGAAAGCACCUGCAGAGAACAGGGAGCGCCAGCAGAGGAUGGGAGCACCGUCAGAAGAUAGAGGUAGCACGCCGGUGGAGGUUAGAUGUAGUGUGCCAUCAGAGAAUAGAGGUGGAGUACCUGCAGAGGACAGGGAGCACCUGUGGGGAACAGGGAGCGCUUGCAGAGGACAGGAGCACCGUCAGAAUAUAGAGGUAGUGCGCCAGCAGAGGUUAGAGGUAGUGCACCAUUGGAGGACAGAGGUGGAUGGUCUGUGGAGGACAGGAGCACCUGAAGAAAACAGGGAGCACCUACGGGGGACGGGAGCUCAGUCAGAAGACAAAGGUAGCACCAGCAGAGAUUAGAGGUAACACACCAGCAGAGGAUAAGAGGUAGCACGCCGGCAAAGGUUAGAGGUAGUGCACUGUCAGACGAUAGAGGUGUAACGUAUGCGGAGAAAAAGAGGACCUGCGGAGAACAAGGAGUGCCAGCAGAUGAUGGGAGCACAAUCAGAAGAUAGAGGUAGCUUGCCGGCAGAGGUUAGAGGUAGUGCACUGUUGGAGGAUCAAAGUAGUGGGUCUGCGGAGAACAGGAGAACCUGCGGAGAACAGGGAGUGACUGCAGAGGACGGGAACACCGGCAGAAAACAGAAUUAGUGCACCGGCAGAGGUUAGAUGUAGUGCGCUGUUGGAGGAUAGAGGUGGAAUGUCUGCGGAGGAAAAGAGCACCUGCAGGGAACUGGAAGUAAUUGCGGAGGACAGGAGUGCCGUCAUAAGACAGAUUUAGUGCACUGGCAGAGGUUAGAUGUAGUGUGCCAUCAGAAGAUAUAGGUGGAGCAUCUGCGGAGGACAGGAGCAUCUGCGGAGAACACAGACGGCCUGCAGAUGAUGGGAGUGUUGUCAGAAGAUAGAGGUAGUGCGCUGGCAGAGGUUAGAUGUAGUGCCCCAUCAGAGGAUCGAGGUGGAGGGUCUAGGGAGGAAGAGAUCACCUGCAGAGAACAUGGAGAGCCUGUGCAGGACGGGAGCGCUGUCGAAAGACAGAGUUAGUGAGCUGGCAGAGUUUAGAUGCAGUGUGCCAUCACGGGAUAGAGGUGAAGAGUCUGCGGAGGACGGGAGCACCUGUGAAGAACAAAGAGUGCCUGCAGAUGACGGGAGCGCGAACAGAAGAUAGAGGUAGCACACUGGCAGUGGUUACAGGUAGUGCGCUGUCACAGGAUCGAAGUGCAAGGUCUGGGGAGGAUGGGAAUAUCUGUGGAGAUCAAGGAGUGCCUGCAGAUGAUGGAAGCAUGAUCUGAAGAUAGAGGUAGCUUGCAGGCAGAGGUUAGAGGUAGUGUGCUGUUGGAGGAUUGAGGUGGAGGGUCUGCAGAGGACGGGAGCACCUGCGGCAAGCAGGGACUGACUGCGGAGAACGGGAGUGCUGUCAGAAGGAAUAGCUAGUGAACCGGCAGAGGUUAGAGGUAGUGUGCCUUGAGAGGAUAUAGGUGGAACAUCUGCCGAGAAUGGGAGCACGUGUAGAGAACACAGAGCGCCAGCAGAUGAUGGGAGCGUUGUAAGAAGAUAGAGGUAGUGCGCCAGCAGAGGUUAGAGGUAGUGUGCCAUCAGAGGAUCGAGGUGGAGGGUCUGGGGUGGAUGGGAGCACCUGCAGCCAACAGGGAGCACCUGUGGAGGACAGGAGUGCUGUCAGAAGGCAUAGUUAGUGCACCAGCAGAGGUUAGAGGUAGUGUGCCAUCAGAGGAUAUAGGUGGAGGGUCUGCGGAGUAUCGGACCACCUGAGGACAACAGGGAGCACCUGCGGAGGAUGGGAGCGCUGUCAGAAGACAUAGUUAGUGCGCCGGCAGAGGUUAGAGGUAGUGUGCCUUCAGAGGACAUAGGUAGAGCACCUGUGGAGGAUGGGGGUACCUGCAGAGAACACAGAACACCUGGAGAUGAUGGGAGCACUGUCGGAAUGCGUAGUUAGUGCACCAGCAGAGGUUAGAUGUAGUGCAUCAUCAGAGGAUAUAGGUGGAGCAUCGGCAGAGGACGGGAAAACCUACAGAGAUCAAGGAGUGCCUGCAGAUGACAGGAGUGUUGUCAGAAGACAGAGGUAGCGCGCCGGCAGAGGUUAGAGGUAGUGCGCUGUCGGAGAAUCGAGGUGGAGCGUCUGGGGAGGACGGGAGCAUUUGCGGAGAACAGGGAGCACGUGCGGAGGAUGGGAGUGCUGUCAGAAGGUAUAGUUAGUGCGCCAGCAGAGGUUAGAUGUAGUGCGCUGUCGGAGGAUCUAGGUGGAGCGUCUGGGGAGGACAGGAGCACCUGCGGGGAACAGAGACUGCUUGCAGAUGAUGGGAGCGUGGUUAGAAGAUAGAGGUAGUGCGCCAGCAGAGGUUAGAGACAGAGUGACAUCAGAGGAUCGAGGUGGAGAGUCUGCGGUGGAUGGGAGCACCUGCCACCAACAGGGAGCACCCGUGGAGGACAGGAGUGCUUUCAGAAGGCAUAGUUAGUGCGCUGGCAGAGGUUAGAUGUAGUGUGACUUCAGAGGAUGUAGAUGGAGCAUCUGUGGAGGACGGGAGCACCUGCAGAGAACACAGAGCGCUGGCAGAUGAUGGCAGCGUUGUCAGAAGAUAGAGGUAGUGCGCCAGCAGAGGUUAGAGGUAGUGUGCCAUCAGAGGAUAGAGGUAGAGCACCUGUGGAGGAUGGGGGUACCUGCAGAGGACACAGAACACCUGCAGAUGAUGGGAGCACUGUCGGAAUGCAUAGUUAGUGCACCAGCAGAGGUUAGAGGUACUGCGCUGUCAGAGGAUAGAGCUAGAACUUCUGCAGAGGAUAGGAGCACCUGCAGAGAAGAGGAAGCGAUUGCCAAGGAUGGGAGCACCAUCAGAAGACAGAGUUAGUGCGCUGGCCGAGGUUAGAUGUAGUGCAUCAUCAGAGGAUAUAGGUGGAGCAUCGGCAGAGGACGGGAACACCUACAGAGAUCAAGGAGUGCCUGCAGAUGACGGGAGUGUUGUCAGAAGAUAGAGGUAGUGCGCUGUCGGAGGAUCGAGGUGGAGCGUCUGGGGAGGACGGGAGCAUUUGUGGAGAACAGGGAGCAGCUGUGGAGGACAGGAGUGCUGUCAGAAGUCAGUUAGUGCGCCAGCAGAGGUUAGAUGUAGUGUGCCUUCAGAGGAUAUAGGUGGAGCAUCUGCGGAGGAUAGGAGCACCUGUGGAGAACAGGAAGCGAUUGCCAAGGACAGCAGCACCAUCAGAAGACAGAGUUAGUGCGCCAGCAGAGGUUAGAUGUAGUGCAUCAUCAGAGGAUCGAGUUGGAGCGUCUGCGGAGAACAAGAGCAGCUGCGGAGAACACAGACGGCAUGCAGAUGAUGGGAGCGUGGUUAGAAGAUAGAGGUAGUGCGCCAUCAGAGGUUAGAUGUAGUGUGCCAUCAGAGGAUCAAGGUGGAGGGUCUGCCUAGGAUCGGAGUACCUCAGGAGAACAGGGAGCACCUGCGGAGGACAGGAGUGCUGUCAGAAGGCAUAGUUAGUGCGUCAGCAGAGGUUAGAUGUAGUGUGCCUUCAGAAAAUAGAGGUGGAGCAUCUGUGGAGGAUAGGAGCACCUGCGGAGAACAGGAAGCGAUUGCCAAGGACAGGAGCACCAUCAGAAGACAGAGUUAGUGCGCCGGCAGAGGUUAGAUGUAGUGCAUCAUCAGAGGAUCGAGUUGGAGCGUCUGCAGAGGACAAGAGCAUCUGCGGAGAACAGUGACCGCUUGCAGAUGAUGGGAGCGUGGUUAGAAGAUAGAGGUAGUGCGCCGGCAGAGGUUAGAGGUAAUGUGCCAUCAGAGGAUCAAGGUGGAUUAUCUGCGGAGGAUCGGAGCACCUGCGGAGAACAGGGAGCACGUGCGGAGGACGGGAGCGCUGUCAGAAGGCAUAGUUAGUGCGCCGGCAGAGGUUAGAUGUAGUGUGCCUUCAGAGGACAGAGGUGGAGCAUCUGCGGAGGAUAGGAGCACCUGCGGAGGACAGGAAGCAAUUGCCAAGGACAGGAGCACCAUCAGAAGACAGAGUUAGUGCGCUGGCAGAGGUUAGAUGUAGUGCAUCAUCCGAGGAUCGAGUUGGAGCAUCUGCAGAGGACAAGAGCAUCUGCGGAGGUCAAGGAGUGCCUGCAGAUGUUGGGAGUAUUGUCAGAAGAUAGAGGUAGUGCGCCGGCAGAGGUCAGAGGUAGUGCGCUGUCUGAGGAUAGAUGUGGAGCGUCUGCAGAGGACAAGAGCAUCUGCGGAGAACACAGACGGCUUGCAGAUAAUGGGAGCGUGAUUCGGAGAUAGAGGUAGUGUGACAUCAGAGGACUGAGGUGGAGGGUCUACGGAGGAUCGGAGUACCUGAGGAGAACAGGGAGCACCUGCGGAGGACAGGAGUGCUGUCAGAAGGCAUUGUUAGUGCGUCAGCAGAGGUUAGAUGUAGUGUGCCUUCAGAAAAUAGAGGUGGAGCAUCUGUGGAGGAUAGGAGCACCUGCGGAGAACAGGAAGCGAUUGCCAAGGACAGGAGCACCAUCAGAAGACAGAGUUAGUGCGCCAGCAGAGGUUAGAUGUAGUGCAUCAUCAGAGGAUAGAGGUGGAGCGUCUACAGAGGACAAGAGCAUCUGUGGAGAACAGAGGCUGCUUGCAAAUGAUGGGAGCGUGGUUAGAAGAUAGAGGUAGUGUGCCUGCAGAGGUAAGAGGUAGUGUGCCAUCAGAGGAUCGAGAUGGAGGGUCUGGGGUGGAUGGGAGCACCUGCAGCGAACGGGGAGCAGCUGUGGAGGACAGGAGUGCUGUCAGAAGGCAUAGUUAGUGCGCCAGCAGAGGUUAGAUGUAGUGUGCCUUCAGAGGAUAUAGGUGGAGAAUCUGCGGAGGAUAGGGGCAUCUACAGAGAACAGGAAGCGAUUGGCAAGGACAGGAGCGCCAUCAGAAGACAGAGUUAGUGCACCAGCAGAGGUUAGAUGUAGUGCAUCAUCAGAGGAUAGAGGUGGAGCGUCUACAGAGGACAAGAGCAUCUGCGGAGUUCAAGGAGUGCCUGCAGAUGUUGGGAGUAUUGUCAGAAGAUAGAGGUAGUGUGCCAGCAGAGGUUGGAGGUAGUGUGCCAUCAGAGGAUCGAGGUGGAGGGUCUGCGAAGUAUCGGAGCACCUGAGGAGAACAGGGAGCAUCUGCAAAGGACAGGAGUGCUGUCAGAAGGCAUAAUUAGUGCGCCGGCAGAGAUUAGAUGUAGUGUGCCUUCAGAGGAUAGAGGUGGAGCAUCUGCGGAGGAUAGGAGCACCUGUGGAGAACAGGAAGCGAUUGCCAAGGACAGCAGCACCAUCAGAAGACAUAGUUAGUGCGCCAGCAGAGGUUAGAUGUAGUGUGCCUUCAGAGGAUAUAGAUGGAGCAUCUGCGGAGGACGGGAGCACGUGCAGAGAGCACAGAGCGCCGGCAGAUGAUGGGAGCGUUGUCAGAAGAUAGAGGUAGUGCGCUGUCGGAGGAUCGAGGUGGAGCGUCUGGGGAGGAUGGGAGCAUUUGUGGAGAACAGGGAGCAGCUGUGGAGGACAGGAGUGCUGUCAGAAGUCAGUUAGUGCGCCAGCAGAGGUUAGAUGUAGUGUGCCUUCAGAGGAUAGAGGUGGAGCAUCUGCGGAGGAUAGGAGCACCUGUGGAGAACAGGAAGCGAUUGCCAAGGACAGCAGCACCAUCAGAAGACAGAGUUAGUGCGCCAGCUGAGGUUAGAUGUAGUGCAUCAUCAGAGGAUCGAGUUGGAGCGUCUGCGGAGAACAAGAGCAGCUGCGGAGAACACAGACGGCAUGCAGAUGAUGGGAGCGUGGUUAGAAGAUAGAGGUAGUGUGCCAUCAGAGGUUAGAUGUAGUGUGCCAUCAGAGGAUUGAGGUGGAGGGUCUGCCUAGGAUCGGAGUACCUGAGGAGAACAGGGAGCACCUGCGGAGGACAGGAGCGCUGUCGGAAGGCAUAGUUAGUGCGUCAGCAGAGGUUAGAUGUAGUGUGCCUUCAGAAAAUAGAGGUGGAGCAUCUGUGGAGUAUAGGAGCACCUGCGGAGAACAGGAAGCGAUUGCCAAGGACAGGAGCACCAUCAGAAGACAUAGUUAGUGCGCCGGCAGAGGUUAGAUGUAGUGCAUCAUCAGAGGAUCGAGUUGGAGCGUCUGCAGAGGACAAGAGCAUCUGCGGAGAACAGUGACCGCUUGCAGAUGAUGGGAGCGUGGUUAGAAGAUAGAGGUAGUGCGCCGGCAGAGGUUAGAGGUAAUGUGCCAUCAGAGGAUUGAGGUGGAGUGUCUGCGGAGGAUCGGAGCACCGGAGGAGAACAGGGAGCACGUGCGGAGGACGGGAGCGCUGUCAGAAGGCAUAGUUAGUGCGCCGGCAGAGGUUAGAUGUAGUGUGCCUUCAGAGGAUAGAGGUGGAGCAUCUGCGGAGGAUAGGAGCACCUGCGGAGGACAGGAAGCAAUUGCCAAGGACAGGAGCACCAUCAGAAGACAGAGUUAGUGCGCUGGCAGAGGUUAGAUGUAGUGCAUCAUCCGAGGACAGAUGUGGAGCGUCUGCAGAGGACAAGAGCAUCUGCGGAGAACACAGACGGCUUGCAGAUAAUGGGAGCGUGGUUAGAAGAUUGAGGUAGUGCGCCGGCAGAGGUUACAGGUAUUGUGCCAUCAGAGGAUCGGGGCGGAGGGUCUGCCGAGGAUCGGAGCACCUGCGGAGAACAGGGAGCACCUGUGGAGGACGGGAGCGCUGUUAGAAGGCAUAGUUAGUUCGCCGGCAGAGGUUAGAUGUAGUGUGCCUUCAGAGGAUAGUGGUGUAGCAUCUGCGGAGGAUAGGAGCAUCUGCGGAGAACAGAGACCGCUUGCAGAUGAUGGGAGCGUGGUUAGGAGAUAGAGGUAGUGCGCCAGCAGAGGUUAGAGGCAUUGUGCCAUCAGAGGAUCGAGGUGGAGGGUCUGUGAAGGAUGGGAGCACCUGCAGCGAACAGGGAGCACCUGCGGAGGACAGGAGCACUGUCAGAAGACAUAGUUAGUGCGCCGGCAGAGGUUAGAUGUAGUGUGCCUUCAGAGGAUAUAGGUGGAGCAUCUGCGGAGGAUAGGAGCACCUGUGGAGAACAGGAAGCGAUUGCCAAGGACAGCAGCACCAUCAGAAGACAGAGUUAGUGCGCCAGCAGAGGUUAGAUGUAGUGCAUCAUCAGAGGAUCGAGUUGGAGCGUCUGCGGAGAACAAGAGCAUCUGCGGAGAACACAGACGGCAUGCAGAUGAUGGGAGCGUGGUUAGAAGAUAGAGGUAGUGUGCCAGCAGAGGUUAGAUGUAGUGUGCCAUUAGAGGAUCAAGGUGGAGGGUCUGCCUAGGAUUGGAGUACCUCAGGAGAACAGGGAGCACCUGCGGAGGACAGGAGUGCUGUCAGAAGGCAUAGUUAGUGCGUCAGCAGAGGUUAGAUGUAGUGUGCCUUCAGAAAAUAGAGGUGGAGCAUCUGUGGAGGAUAGGAGCACCUGCGGAGAACAGGAAGCGAUUGCCAAGGACAGGAGCACCAUCAGAAGACAUAGUUAGUGCGCCGGCAGAGGUUAGAUGUAGUGCAUCAUCAGAGGAUCGAGUUGGAGCGUCUGCAGAGGACAAGAGCAUCUGCGGAGAACAGUGACCGCUUGCAGAUGAUGGGAGCGUGGUUAGAAGAUAGAGGUAGUGCGCCGGCAGAGGUUAGAGGUAAUGUGCCAUCAGAGGAUUGAGGUGGAGUGUCUGCGGAGGAUCGGAGCACCGGAGGAGAACAGGGAGCACGUGCGGAGGACGGGAGCGCUGUCAGAAGGCAUAGUUAGUGCGCCGGCAGAGGUUAGAUGUAGUGUGCCUUCAGAGGAUAGAGGUGGAGCAUCUGCGGAGGAUAGGAGCACCUGCGGGGAACAGGAAGCAAUUGCCAAGGACAGGAGCACCAUCAGAAGACAGAGUUAGUGCGCUGGCAGAGGUUAGAUGUAGUGCAUCAUCCGCGGAUCGAGUUGGAGCGUCUGCAGAGGACAAGAGCAUCUGCGGAGGUCAAGGAGUGCCUGCAGAUGUUGGGAGUAUUGUCAGAAGAUAGAGGUAGUGCGCCAGCAGAGGUCAGAUGUAGUGCGCUGUCUGAGGAUAGAUGUGGAGCGUCUGCAGAGGACAAGAGCAUCUGCGGUGAACUGAGACCGCUUGCAGAUGAUGGGAGCGUGGUUAGGAGAUAGAGGUAGUGCGCCAGCAGAGGUUAGAGGCAUUGUGCCAUCAGAGGAUCGAGGUGGAGGGUCUGCGAAGAUUGGGAGCACCUGCAGCGUACAGGGAGCACCUGUGGAGGACAGGAGCGCUGUCAGAAGACAUAGUUAGUUCGCCGGCAGAGGUUAGAUGUAGUGUGCCUUCAGAGGAUAGAGGUGUAGCAUCUGCGGAGGAUAGGAGCACCUGCGGAGAACAGGAAGCGAUUGCCAAGGACAGGAGCACCAUCAGAAGACAGAGUUAGUGCGCCGGCAGAGGUUAGAUGUAGUGCAUCAUCAGAGGAUCGAGUUGGAGCGUCUGCGGAGGACAAGAGCAUCUGCGGAGAACAGAGACCGGUUGCAGAUGAUGGGAGCGUGGUUAGAAGAUAGAGGUAGUGCGCCAGCAGAGGUUAGAGGUAGUGUGCCAUCAAAGGAUCAAGGUGGAGGGUCUGCGAAGGAUGGGAGCACCUGCAGCGAACAGGGAGCACCUGCGGAGGACAGGAGCACUGUCAGAAGACAGAGUUAGUGCGCCGGCAGAGGUUAGAUGUAGUGCAUCAUCAGAAGAUCGAGUUGGAGUGUCUGCAGAGGACAAGAGCAUCUGCGGAGAACAGUGACCGCUUGCAGAUGAUGGGAGCGUGGUUAGAAGAUAGAGGUUGUGCGCCAGUAGAGGUUAGAGGUAGUGUGCCAUCAGAGGAUCAAGGUGGAGGGUCUGCCUAGGAUCGGAGUACCUCAGGAGAACAGGAAGCACCUGCGGAGGACAGGAGUGCUGUCAGAAGACAUAGUUAGUGCGCCGGCAGAGGUUAGAUGUAGUGUGCCUUCAGAGGAUAGAGGUGGAGCAUCUGUGGAGGAUAGGAGCACCUGUGGAGAACAGGGAGCACGUGCGGAGGACGGGAGCGCUGUCAGAAGGCAUAGUUAGUGCGCUGGCAGAGGUUAGAUGCAGUGUGCCUUCAGAGGAUAUAAGUGGAGCAUCUGCGGAGGAUAGGAGCACCUGCAGAGGACAUAGAACACCUGAAGACGAUGGGAGGGCUGUCAGAAUGCAUAGUUAGUGCGCCAGCAGAGGUUAGAUGUAGUGCAUCAUCAGAGGAUUGAGGUGGAGCAUUGGCAGAGGCUGGGAACACCUACAGAGAUCAAGGAGUGCCUGCAGAUGACGGGAGUGUUGUCAGAAGAUAGAGGUAGUGUGCCGGCAGAGGUCAGAGGUAGUGCGCUGUCGGAGGAUCGAGGUGGAGCGUCUGGGGAGGAUGGGAGCAUUUGUGGAGAACAGGGAGCAGCUGUGGAGGACAGGAGUGCUGUCAGAAGUCAGUUAGUGCGCCAGCAGAGGUUAGAUGUAGUGUGCCUUCAGAGGAUAUAGGUGGAGCAUCUGCGGAGGAUAGGAGCACCUGUGGAGAACAGGAAGCGAUUGCCAAGGACAGCAGCACCAUCAGAAGACAGAGUUAGUGCGCCAGCAGAGGUUAGAUGUAGUGCAUCAUCAGAGGAUCGAGUUGGAGCGUCUGCGGAGAACAAGAGCAGCUGCGGAGAACACAGACGGCAUGCAGAUGAUGGGAGCGUGGUUAGAAGAUAGAGGUAGUGCGCCAGCAGAGGUUAGAUGUAGUGUGCCAUCAGAGGAUCAAGGUGGAGGGUCUGCCUAGGAUCGGAGUACCUCAGGAGAACAGGGAGCACCUGCGGAGGACAGGAGUGCUGUCAGAAGGCAUAGUUAGUGCGUCAGCAGAGGUUAGAUGUAGUGUGCCUUCAGAAAAUAGAGGUGGAGCAUCUGUGGAGGAUAGGAGCACCUGCGGAGAACAGGAAGCGAUUGCCAAGGACAGGAGCACCAUCAGAAGACAGAGUUAGUGCGCCGGCAGAGGUUAGAUGUAGUGCAUCAUCAGAGGAUCGAGUUGGAGCGUCUGCAGAGGACAAGAGCAUCUGCGGAGAACAGUGACCGCUUGCAGAUGAUGGGAGCGUGGUUACGAGAUAGAGGUAGUGCGCCGGCAGAGGUUAGAGGUAUUGUGCCAUCAGAGGACCAAGGCGGAGGGUCUGCAGAGGAUCGGAGCACCUGCGGAGAACAGGGAGCACCUGUGGAGGACGGGAGCGCUGUUAGAAGGCAUAGUUAGUUCGCCGGCAGAGGUUAGAUGUAGGGCAUCAUCAGAGGAUCGAGUUGGAGCGUCUGCGGAGGACAAGAGCAUCUGCGGAGAACAGAGACCGGUUGCAGAUGAUGGGAGCGUGGUUAGGAGAUAGAGGUAGUGCGCCAGCAGAGGCUAGAGGUAUUGUGCCAUCAGAGGAUCGAGGUGGAGGGUCUGCGAAGGAUGGGAGCACCUGCAGCGAACCGGGAGGAUCUGUGGAGGACAGGAGCGCUGUCAGAAGACAUAGUUAGUGCGCCGGCAGAGGUUAGAUAUAGUGUGCCUUCAGAAAAUAAAGGUGGAGCGUCUGCAGAGGACAAGAGCACCUGCGGAGAACAGGAAGCGAUUGCCAAGGACAGGAGCACCAUCAGAAGACAGAGUUAGUGCGCCGGCAGAGGUUAGAUGUAGUGUGCCUUCAGAGGAUCGAGUUGGAGCGUCUGCGGAGAACAAGAGCAUCUGCGGAGAACACAGGCAGCAUGCAGAUGAUGGGAGUGUGGUUAGAAGAUAGAGGUUGUGCGCCAGUAUAGGUUAGAGGUAGUGUGCCAUUAGAGGAUCAAGGUGGAGGGUCUGCCUAGGAUCGGAGUACCUGAGGAGAACAGGGAGCACCUGCGGAGGACAGGAGUGCUGUCAGAAGACAUAGUUAGUGCGCCAGCAGGGGUUAGAUGUAGUGUGCCUUCAGAGGAUAUAGAUGGAGCAUCUGCGGAGGACGGGAGCAACUGCAGAGAGCACAGAGCGCCGGCAGAUGAUGGGAGCGUUGUCAGAAGAUAGAGGUAGUGCGCCGGCAGAGUUUAGAGGUAGUGCUUCAUCAGAGGAUAUACGUGAAGCGUCUGCGGAGGACAAGAGCAUCUGCGGAGAACAGAGACCAGUUGCAGAUGAUGGGAGCGUGGUUACGAGAUAGAGGUAGUGCGCCAGCAGGGGUUAGAGGUAUUGUGCCAUCAGAGGAUCAAGGUGGAGGGUCUGCGGAGGAUGGGAGCACCUGCAGCGAACAGGGAGCACCUGCGGAGGACAGGAGCGCUGUCAGAAGACAUAGUUAGUGCACCGGCAGAGGUUAGAUGUAGUGUGUCUUCAGAAAAUAGAGGUGGAGCAUCUGUGGAGGAUAGGAGCACCUGCGAAGAAUAGGAAGCUAUUGCCAAGGACAGGAGCACCAUCAGAAGACAGAGUUAGUGCGCUGGCCGAGGUUAGAUGUAGUGCAUCAUCCGAGGACAGAUGUUGAGCGUCUGCAGAGGACAAGAGCAUCUGCGGAGGUCAAGGAGCGCCUGCAGAUGUUGGGAGUAUUGUCAGAAGAUAGAGGUAGUGCGCCAGCAGAGGUCAGAUGUAGUGCGCUGUCUGAGGAUAGAUGUGGAGCAUCUGCAGAGGACAAGAGCAUCUGCGGAGAACACAGACGGCUUGCAGAUAAUGGGAGCGUGGUUAGAAGAUUGAGGUAGUGCGCCGGCAGAGGUUACAGGUAUUGUGCCAUCAGAGGAUCGGGGCGGAGGGUCUGCCGAGGAUCGGAGCACCUGCGGAGAACAGGGAGCACCUGUGGAGGACGGGAGCGCUGUUAGAAGGCAUAGUUAGUUCGCCGGCAGAGGUUAGAUGUAGUGUGCCUUCAGAGGAUAUAAGUGUAGCAUCUGCGGAGGAUAGGAGCAUCUGCGGAGAACAGAGACCGCUUGCAGAUGAUGGGAGCGUGGUUAGGAGAUAGAGGUAGUGCGCCAGCAGAGGUUAGAGGCAUUGUGCCAUCAGAGGAUCGAGGUGGAGGGUCUGCGAAGGAUGGGAGCACCUGCAGCGAACAGGGAGCACCUGCGGAGGACAGGAGCACUGUCAGAAGACAUAGUUAGUGCGCCGGCAGAGGUUAGAUGUAGUGUGCCUUCAGAGGAUAUAGGUGGAGCAUCUGCGGAGGAUAGGAGCACCUGUGGAGAACAGGAAGCGAUUGCCAAGGACAGCAGCACCAUCAGAAGACAGAGUUAGUGCGCCAGCAGAGGUUAGAUGUAGUGCAUCAUCAGAGGAUCGAGUUGGAGCGUCUGCGGAGAACAAGAGCAUCUGCGGAGAACACAGACAGCAUGCAGAUGAUGGGAGCGUGGUUAGAAGAUAGAGGUAGUGUGCCAGCAGAGGUUAGAUGUAGUGUGCCAUUAGAGGAUCAAGGUGGAGGGUCUGCCUAGGAUUGGAGUACCUCAGGAGAACAGGGAGCACCUGCGGAGGACAGGAGCGCUGUCGGAAGGCAUAGUUAGUGCGUCAGCAGAGGUUAGAUGUAGUGUGCCUUCAGAAAAUAGAGGUGGAGCAUCUGUGGAGGAUAGGAGCACCUGCGGAGAACAGGAAGCGAUUGCCAAGGACAGGAGCACCAUCAGAAGACAUAGUUAGUGCGCCGGCAGAGGUUAGAUGUAGUGCAUCAUCAGAGGAUCGAGUUGGAGCAUCUGCAGAGGACAAGAGCAUCUGCGGAGAACAGUGACCGCUUGCAGAUGAUGGGAGCGUGGUUAGAAGAUAGAGGUAGUGCGCCGGCAGAGGUUAGAGGUAAUGUGCCAUCAGAGGAUUGAGGUGGAGUGUCUGCGGAGGAUCGGAGCACCGGAGGAGAACAGGGAGCACGUGCGGAGGACGGGAGCGCUGUCAGAAGGCAUAGUUAGUGCGCCGGCAAAGGUUAGAUGUAGUGUGCCUUCAGAGGAUAGAGGUGGAGCAUCUGCGGAGGAUAGGAGCACCUGCGGAGAACAGGAAGCAAUUGCCAAGGACAGGAGCACCAUCAGAAGACAGAGUUAGUGCGCUGGCAGAGGUUAGAUGUAGUGCAUCAUCCGAGGAUCGAGUUGGAGCGUCUGCAGAGGACAAGAGCAUCUGCGGAGGUCAAGGAGUGCCUGCAGAUGUUGGGAGUAUUGUCAGAAGAUAGAGGUAGUGCGCCAGCAGAGGUCAGAUGUAGUGCGCUGUCUGAGGAUAGAUGUGGAGCGUCUGCAGAGGACAAGAGCAUCUGCGGAGAACUGAGACCGCUUGCAGAUGAUGGGAGCGUGGUUAGGAGAUAGAGGUAGUGCGCCAGCAGAGGUUAGAGGCAUUGUGCCAUCAGAGGAUCGAGGUGGAGGGUCUGCGAAGAUUGGGAGCACCUGCAGCGUACAGGGAGCACCUGUGGAGGACAGGAGCGCUGUCAGAAGACAUAGUUAGUUCGCCGGCAGAGGUUAGAUGUAGUGUGCCUUCAGAGGAUAGAGGUGUAGCAUCUGCGGAGGAUAGGAGCACCUGCGGAGAACAGGAAGCGAUUGCCAAGGACAGGAGCACCAUCAGAAGACAGAGUUAGUGCGCCGGCAGAGGUUAGAUGUAGUGUGCCUUCAGAGGAUCGAGUUGGAGCGUCUGCGGAGAACAAGAGCAUCUGCGGAGAACACAGACAGCAUGCAGAUGAUGGGAGUGUGGUUAGAAGAUAGAGGUUGUGCGCCAGUAUAGGUUAGAGGUAGUGUGCCAUUAGAGGAUCAAGGUGGAGGGUCUGCCUAGGAUCGGAGUACCUGAGGAGAACAGGGAGCACCUGCGGAGGACAGGAGUGCUGUCAGAAGACAUAGUUAGUGCGCCGGCAGAGGUUAGAUGUAGUGUGCCUUCAGAGGAUAUAGAUGGAGCAUCUGCGGAGGACGGGAGCAACUGCAGAGAGCACAGAGCACCGGCAGAUGAUGGGAGCGUUGU
Gallus gallus (chicken) is the source of this 14424-nucleotide long non-coding RNA. RefSeq lists it as uncharacterized. The transcript is spliced from 7 exons. The record is from RefSeq and is a predicted model, not a curated record. Lineage: Eukaryota; Metazoa; Chordata; Aves; Galliformes; Phasianidae.